RNAcentral lists this ribosomal RNA (659 nucleotides) under uncultured fungus. Its description in RNAcentral is "eukaryotic LSU rRNA". It matches the Rfam family "Eukaryotic large subunit ribosomal RNA", at positions 24 to 664 of the family's 3401-position model. The record is from RNAcentral. Lineage: Eukaryota; Fungi.
CCCGCUGAACUUAAGCAUAUCAAUAAGCGGAGGAAAAGAAACUAACAAGGAUUCCCCUAGUAACUGCGAGUGAAGCGGGAAGAGCUCAAAUUUGAAAUCUGGCGUGCCUCUGGUCGUCCGAGUUGUAGUCUGGAGAAGCGUCUUCCGUGUUGGUCCGUGUAUAAGUCUCUUGGAACAGGGCAUCAUAGAGGGUGAGAAUCCCGUCUUUGACACGGACUGCCAAUGCUUUGUGAUGCGCUCUCAAAGAGUCGAGUUGUUUGGGAAUGCAGCUCAAAAUGGGUGGUAAAUUCCAUCUAAAGCUAAAUAUAGGCGAGAGACCGAUAGCGAACAAGUACCGUGAGGGAAAGAUGAAAAGCACUUUGGAAAGAGAGUUAAACAGUACGUGAAAUUGCUGAAAGGGAAACGCUUGAAGUCAGUCGUGUCUGCCAGGACUCAGCCUUGCUUCUGCUUGGUGUACUUUCUGGUUGGAUGGGCCAACAUCAAUUUCGACCAUUGGAGAAAGGCUUUGGGAAUGUGGCACCUUUGGGUGUGUUAUAGCCCUUUGUUGUAUACAGUGGCUGGGAUUGAGGACCGCAGCAUGCCUUUAUGGCCGGGGUUCGCCCACGUACGUGCUUAGGAUGUUGGCGUAAUGGCUUUAAGCGACCCGUCUUGAAACACGG